Molecule: ribosomal RNA, 402 nt
Filed under: Clostridium sartagoforme
Lineage: Bacteria; Bacillati; Bacillota; Clostridia; Eubacteriales; Clostridiaceae
Description: bacterial SSU rRNA
Rfam family: Bacterial small subunit ribosomal RNA
Source: RNAcentral
AGUGGGGAAUAUUGCACAAUGGGGGAAACCCUGAUGCAGCAACGCCGCGUGAGUGAUGAAGGUCUUCGGAUCGUAAAGCUCUGUCUUCAGGGACGAUAAUGACGGUACCUGAGGAGGAAGCCACGGCUAACUACGUGCCAGCAGCCGCGGUAAUACGUAGGUGGCGAGCGUUGUCCGGAUUUACUGGGCGUAAAGGGAGCGUAGGCGGAUUUUUAAGUGAGAUGUGAAAUACCCGGGCUCAACUUGGGUGCUGCAUUUCAAACUGGAAGUCUAGAGUGCAGGAGAGGAGAGUGGAAUUCCUAGUGUAGCGGUGAAAUGCGUAGAGAUUAGGAAGAACACCAGUGGCGAAGGCGACUCUCUGGACCGUAACUGACGCUGAGGCUCGAAAGCGUGGGGAGCAAA